This 252-nucleotide ribosomal RNA is filed under the name uncultured bacterium. RNAcentral's name for it is "partial 16S ribosomal RNA". It matches the Rfam family "Bacterial small subunit ribosomal RNA", at positions 524 to 776 of the family's 1533-position model. The record is from RNAcentral.
UACGGGGGGGGCAAGCGUUGUUCGGAAUUACUGGGCGUAAAGGGCUCGUAGGCGGCCAACUAAGUCAGACGUGAAAUCCCUCGGCUUAACCGGGGAACUGCAUCUGAUACUGGAUGGCUUGAGUUCGGGAGAGGGAUGCGGAAUUCCAGGUGUAGCGGUGAAAUGCGUAGAUAUCUGGAGGAACACCGGUGGCGAAGGCGGCAUCCUGGACCGGCAUUGACGCUGAGGCGCGAAAGCCAGGGAGCAAACGGG